Podarcis raffonei (Aeolian wall lizard) is the source of this 431-nucleotide long non-coding RNA. RefSeq lists it as uncharacterized. The transcript has 3 exons. The record is from RefSeq and is a predicted model, not a curated record. Lineage: Eukaryota; Metazoa; Chordata; Lepidosauria; Squamata; Lacertidae.
GGCCUGACGCAACAGGCUCUUCUGAUGUUUUUAUUCUUAUCUGCAUUUAAGUCCAGAAACUCUAAAAUUCAGAAUGCAGGCAGAAUGGAAUUCCCCUCUAUCCCUAGCUGCAUGCAUCACAAUCCUAGGCAUUUUUACUCAGAAGUCAAUCCCACUGAGCUCCAUGGCACCCUACUCCCAAGUAAGCUGGGAAGCUACAAGUGCAGGCGCUGCAGCAGCAGUCCAUCUGCUGCCCAACUCUCAAAGCCAGAAAGGACUGUUAAAUAUGAUAGGAAAGCUUCAUCGGUUGAAUUUCUUCCUAUCAUCGCAUCUCCAUGUUGGGGAAAAUUGAGCCUGUAGUGCAGCUGCUGAAGAUUGAAGCACCCUGCUGGAAUAAAGGUGGCAAAGCUGGUAAGAAAAUAUGCAAAUAAAAUUGAUGUACAAUGUGUAGU